RNAcentral lists this transfer RNA (73 nucleotides) under Camelus bactrianus (Bactrian camel). It matches the Rfam family "tRNA". Rfam says of the family: Transfer RNA (tRNA) molecules are approximately 80 nucleotides in length. Their secondary structure includes four short double-helical elements and three loops (D, anti-codon, and T loops). Further hydrogen bonds mediate the characteristic L-shaped molecular structure. tRNAs have two regions of fundamental functional importance: the anti-codon, which is responsible for specific mRNA codon recognition, and the 3' end, to which the tRNAs corresponding amino acid is attached (by aminoacyl-tRNA synthetases). tRNAs cope with the degeneracy of the genetic code in two manners: having more than one tRNA (with a specific anti-codon) for a particular amino acid; and 'wobble' base-pairing, i.e. permitting non-standard base-pairing at the 3rd anti-codon position. The record is from Rfam by way of RNAcentral. RNAcentral also lists the same sequence under 2 other names. Lineage: Eukaryota; Metazoa; Chordata; Mammalia; Artiodactyla; Camelidae.
GAAGGCAUAGCUCAAGUGGUAGAGCGCAUACUUAGCAUGCCUGAGGUCUUGGGUUCAAUCCCCAUUACCUCCU